Ochotona curzoniae (black-lipped pika) is the source of this 164-nucleotide small nuclear RNA. RefSeq annotates it as U1 spliceosomal RNA. NCBI's taxonomy places the organism in Eukaryota, Metazoa, Chordata, Mammalia, Lagomorpha, Ochotonidae. The transcript has a single exon. The record is from RefSeq and is a predicted model, not a curated record.
GUUGUUCUCUGGCAGGGGAGAUACCAUGAUCAUGCAGGUGGUUUCCCCAAGGCAAGUCUCAUCCAUUGCACUUGGGAUGUGCAGACCCCUACAUUUUCCCCAAAUGUGAGAAACUCGAUUGCAUAAUUUGUGAUAGUAGUGGACUAUGUUUGCUGUCUCCCCUG